GAGUCGGCACUCUAAAUCGGUGUA
Molecule: non-coding RNA, 24 nt
Filed under: Arabidopsis thaliana (thale cress)
Lineage: Eukaryota; Viridiplantae; Streptophyta; Magnoliopsida; Brassicales; Brassicaceae
Source: RNAcentral